ACGUAAAAGAAACUAACUAAUAAAGGAAAUCCCGUAUGCAGUCUUACUACCCAUAUUUUAGGUCCAUUAAAGUGGCCUAUUACAUUAAAAACACAAUGGACCAAAGACCCAACAUGUAUAGAACCCAACCCUAGGCUUAAUCCUUAUAAAACAACCCCAUUUUGGUUAUGUAUCUCAAUUAUCUCUACUUGGUUG
Molecule: long non-coding RNA, 195 nt
Organism: Telopea speciosissima
Lineage: Eukaryota; Viridiplantae; Streptophyta; Magnoliopsida; Proteales; Proteaceae
Exons: 3
Source: RefSeq, a predicted model, not a curated record